CCCCUGACGACCCGAGAGAUCGGGCGUUCCCCCUUCGGGGGGACAGGGUGACAGGUGGUGCAUGGUUGUCGUCAGCUCGUGUCGUGAGAUGUUGGGUUAAGUCCCGCAACGAGCGCAACCCUCGACCUUAGUUGCCAGCAUUCAGUUGGGCACUCUAAGGUGACUGCCGGCUAAAAGUCGGAGGAAGGUGGGGAUGACGUCAAAUCAUCAUGCCCCUUAUGACCUGGGCUACACACGUGCUACAAUGGGCGGUACAAAGGGUCGCGAACCCGCGAGGGGGAGCCAAUCCCAAAAAGCCGCUCUCAGUUCGGAUUGCAGGCUGCAACUCGCCUGCAUGAAGCCGGAAUCGCUAGUAAUCGCGGAUCAGCAUGCCGCGGUGAAUACGUUCCCGGGCCUU
Molecule: ribosomal RNA, 397 nt
Filed under: uncultured Anoxybacillus sp.
Lineage: Bacteria; Bacillati; Bacillota; Bacilli; Caryophanales; Anoxybacillaceae
Description: bacterial SSU rRNA
Rfam family: Bacterial small subunit ribosomal RNA
Source: RNAcentral